This 343-nucleotide unclassified non-coding RNA is filed under the name soil metagenome. RNAcentral describes it as "partial contains 5.8S ribosomal RNA, internal transcribed spacer 2, and large subunit ribosomal RNA". The stretch from base 1 to 119 matches the Rfam family "5.8S ribosomal RNA", at positions 35 to 154 of the family's 154-position model. The record is from RNAcentral.
GAUGAAGAACGUAGCGAAAUGCGAUACGUAAUGUGAAUUGCAAAUUCAGUGAAUCAUCGAGUCUUUGAACGCACAUUGCGCCCCCUGGUAUUCCGGGGGGCAUGCCUGUCCGAGCGUCAUUGCUGCCCUCAAGCACGGCUUGUGUGUUGGGCCCCGUCCCCUCCCCCGGGGACGGGCCCGAAAGGCAGCGGCGGCACCGCGUCCGAUCCUCGAGCGUAUGGGGCUUUGUCACCCGCUCUGUAGGCCCGGCCGGCGCCAGCCGACACCCAACUUUUAUUUCUAAGGUUGACCUCGGAUCAGGUAGGGAUACCCGCUGAACUUAAGCAUAUCAAUAAGCGGAGGA